RNAcentral lists this ribosomal RNA (313 nucleotides) under uncultured eukaryote. RNAcentral describes it as "partial 18S ribosomal RNA". It matches the Rfam family "Eukaryotic small subunit ribosomal RNA", at positions 1470 to 1796 of the family's 1831-position model. The record is from RNAcentral.
CCCUUAGAUGUUCUGGGCCGCACGCGCGCUACAAUGAUGAAUUCAACGAGUUUAUAACCUUGGUUGAAAAGCCUGGGUAAUCUUUUGAACUUUCGUCGUGAUGGGGCUAGACCCUUGCAAUUAUUGGUCUCCAACGAGGAAUUCCUAGUAAACGCAAGUCAUCAGCUUGCAUUGAUUACGUCCCUGCCCUUUGUACACACCGCCCGUCGCACCUACCGAUUGGGUGAGCCGAUGAAACUCUCGGAUGUAGGCUAUUCAUAGCCCGCAGAAGAGAUUUGAAUCGUAGCGCUUAGAGGAAGGAGAAGUCGUAACA